RNAcentral lists this ribosomal RNA (406 nucleotides) under uncultured bacterium. RNAcentral describes it as "partial 16S ribosomal RNA". It matches the Rfam family "Bacterial small subunit ribosomal RNA", at positions 28 to 526 of the family's 1533-position model. The record is from RNAcentral.
GAUGAACGCUAGCUACAGGCUUAACACAUGCAAGUCGAGGGACCGGCGCACGGGCGAGUAACACGUAUCCAACCUGCCUUUUACUCGGGGAUAGCCUUUCGAAAGAAAGAUUAAUACCCGAUAUAAAGGAUGGGGAUGCGUUCCAUUAGGUUGUUGGUGAGGUAACGGCCCACCAAGCCUUCGAUGGCUAGGGGUUCUGAGAGGAAGGUCCCCGACAUUGGAACUGAGACACGGUCCAAACUCCUACGGGAAGCAGCAGUGAGGAAUAUUGGUCGAUGGGCGGUAGCCUGAACCAGCCAAGUAGCGUGAAGGAUGAAGGCUUCUGGGUCGUAAACGUCAUUUAUAUAAGAAUAUGUAUUAUAUGAAGAAGCACCGGCUAACUACGUGCCAACAGCCGCGGUAAUUC